RNAcentral lists this ribosomal RNA (478 nucleotides) under uncultured bacterium. RNAcentral's name for it is "partial 16S ribosomal RNA". It matches the Rfam family "Bacterial small subunit ribosomal RNA", at positions 28 to 507 of the family's 1533-position model. The record is from RNAcentral.
GAUGAACGCUGGCGGCGUGCUUAACACAUGCAAGUCGAACGAGAAAUGGAGACGGACACCUUCGGGCGGAAGGCUUCAUUUCGAGUGGCGGACGGGUGAGUAACGCGUGGGUAACCUGCCUCAUACAGGGGGAUAACAGUUGGAAACGACUGUUAAUACCGCAUAAGACCACAGCACCGCAUGGUGCGGGGGUAAAAACUCCGGUGGUAUGAGAUGGACCCGCGUUCGAUUAGCCAGUUGGCGGGGUAACGGCCCACCAAAGCGACGAUCGAUAGCCGAUCUGAGAGGAUGACCGGCCACAUUGGGACUGAGACACGGCCCAAACUCCUACGGGAAGCAGCAGUGGGGAAUAUUGCACAAUGGGGGAAACCCUGAUGCAGCGACGCCGCGUGAGUGAAGAAGUACUUCGGUAUGUAAAGCUCUAUCAGCAGGGAAGAAAAUGACGGUACCUGAGUAAGAAGCCCCGGCUAACUACGUG